Molecule: transfer RNA, 73 nt
Filed under: Canis lupus familiaris (dog)
Lineage: Eukaryota; Metazoa; Chordata; Mammalia; Carnivora; Canidae
Also listed under: 2 other names
Rfam family: tRNA
About the family: Transfer RNA (tRNA) molecules are approximately 80 nucleotides in length. Their secondary structure includes four short double-helical elements and three loops (D, anti-codon, and T loops). Further hydrogen bonds mediate the characteristic L-shaped molecular structure. tRNAs have two regions of fundamental functional importance: the anti-codon, which is responsible for specific mRNA codon recognition, and the 3' end, to which the tRNAs corresponding amino acid is attached (by aminoacyl-tRNA synthetases). tRNAs cope with the degeneracy of the genetic code in two manners: having more than one tRNA (with a specific anti-codon) for a particular amino acid; and 'wobble' base-pairing, i.e. permitting non-standard base-pairing at the 3rd anti-codon position.
Source: Rfam by way of RNAcentral
GCCUGUCUGGCUCAGUUGGUGGAGCAUGUGACUCUUAAUCUCAGAGUUGUGAGUUUGAGCCCUACAUUGGGCA